GAGGAUUGGCACAUCUAACUGGGACAUUGAAUAGCAAGGAAUAUGAAUGACGUGGAGCCACAGAGACAGAGUUUUGCUACAUUGCUCAGGCUGAUCUCUCCUCUUGGGCUCAAGUGAUCUGCCAGCCUUGGCCUCCUGAAGUGCUGGGAUUAUAGGCAUGAGCCACCAUGCCCGGCCCAAUAUCAACAUUCUGAACAUCAGCCUUUGUACUGAGUGAUAAUACAGCAACGCUGUCAAGGCCCACUGGGAGAACAAAGAGAGGUGGAUCCCAGGAGGCAGCCAGGGGAUGCAAGGAGCCAACAUGCCAUCAGAGAGGGGUGAAGAGAUAAGGUCCCAAGGAAAGCUAUUGGAAAGCUUUCUACCAAAAGGGAGAUCAAGGACCACAGAGCACAUCCUGAAAGACAAGUCAUCCUCAGUGAGUGCCUUAUCAAGCUUAUUACUUCAUGGUGACAAGAGGGCUGCACUUGAUCCAACAUCAAUUUUGGAUUCCAGUAAGCAAGAAGAAGAAGACAAAUGAGAAAAAGAUAUAAGCCAGGCUGCUGUGCUAUGGCUGAUGCUGCAGUUCCAGAGCAGGCUCCCUGCUGUGAUUCUACUCAUGAGAUGUUUCCCAGCAGAGGAACUAGCGACAGUGCAAGAGGGGACCCCCAUUUCGUGUUUCUGUGAAGGCUGCAGAACCAGGCUUUGUAGUGGAUGCCAGCUCAUUUCCAAGCUAGAUGUCCAAUCUACUAGCUAGAUGUCAAAGGUCAUGAUGAAUCUUUGAUGCAUGACAGAGUCUGAUAGUGGAAGCUUUGUAAAAGCAAAUCUUCCUGGGUGUCAAAGGAAUUUAAGUCUGGCAAUGUGGCAAAGUUUCCCAACAUUCCAAACAGUGGCAGCAUGUUUCCAAAAACAGGUAGCACAAUCUUCUUUUUACAACAAAAAUGAAAGUUAUAGUAGGAUGUAAAUGUAUUUAAACAGCAGAGGCUGUAGAAGACAGCAUAUAAGGGAGCAGUGGUCUAUUACCCUUAACAUUGAGAGGUGGCCUCGUACAAUGGUUAAACAAGUCCUAGGUUUGAAUCUUCGCUCAACUCUGCAAAUUGCAUAAUCUCUCUGAGCUUUAAAUGUUAUUUCAAGAUGUCUAUUCAUGUAAAAUUCCUAGGAUGCUGCUUGGCACAUGGUAAUAAAAGACCCUAAUGGAGGGUAACUGGUAUAUAACAGACUUUCAGGUUUAUUUCUCUUAAAAUUAGGAGCAAAACUUUAUGGUAAAUGACAAAAACAAGCUGCUAACUGAUAAAUAAAACUGUAAUUGGGACUUUAUAUUAAAAGAAAAUUCAGACACAGUGGCUCACACCUGUAAUCCCAGCACUUUGGGAAGUUGAGGUGGAAGGAUUGCUUUAGCCUAGGAGUUUGAGACCAGCCUGGGCUAUAAAUAUACAUACACAUAUAUGUAUAAAUACAUGUACACACAUACAUUUACAUAUUUAUAUGUAAAUAUAUACAUUUGCAUAUUUGCAUAUGUAUGUUAUUUAACUU
Molecule: long non-coding RNA, 1509 nt
Filed under: Homo sapiens (human)
Lineage: Eukaryota; Metazoa; Chordata; Mammalia; Primates; Hominidae
Description: HSALNT0356906
Source: RNAcentral